GACGAACGCUGGCGGCGUGCUUAACACAUGCAAGUCGAACGGAAAGGCCCUGCUUUUGUGGGGUGCUCGAGUGGCGAACGGGUGAGUAACACGUGAGUAACCUGCCCUUGACUUUGGGAUAACUUCAGGAAACUGGGGCUAAUACCGGAUAGGAGCUCCUGCUGCAUGGUGGGGGUUGGAAAGUUUCGGCGGUUGGGGAUGGACUCGCGGCUUAUCAGCUUGUUGGUGGGGUAGUGGCUUACCAGGCUUUGCCGGGUAGCCGGCCUGAGAGGGUGACCGGCCACAUUGGGACUGAGAUACGGCCCAGACUCCUACGGGAGGCAGCAGUGGGGAAUAUUGCACAAUGGGCGGAAGCCUGAUGCAGCAACGCCGCGUGCGGGAUGACGGCCUUCGGGUUGUAAACCGCUUUCGCCUGUGACGAAGCGUGAGUGACGGUAAUGGGUAAAGAAGCACCGGCUAACUACGUG
Molecule: ribosomal RNA, 467 nt
Filed under: uncultured bacterium
Lineage: Bacteria
Description: partial 16S ribosomal RNA
Rfam family: Bacterial small subunit ribosomal RNA
Source: RNAcentral